AAAUAGACAAACCCUUAUUUUCGUGUCCAACGUUUGACCAUCCGUCUUAUUUAAAAAAUUUAUGAAAAAAAUUAAAAAGACAAGUCACGCAUAAAAUAUUAAUCAUGUUUUAUCAUCUAACAACAAUGAAAAUACAAAUUAUAAAAAAAUUUCAUAUAAGACGGACAGUCAAAGUUAGACAUGGAAAUCCAGAGUUUGUCUUUUU
Molecule: non-coding RNA, 205 nt
Organism: Oryza glumipatula
Lineage: Eukaryota; Viridiplantae; Streptophyta; Magnoliopsida; Poales; Poaceae
Source: Rfam